Molecule: ribosomal RNA, 420 nt
Filed under: Pseudosuccinea columella
Lineage: Eukaryota; Metazoa; Mollusca; Gastropoda; Lymnaeidae
Description: partial 16S ribosomal RNA
Rfam family: Archaeal large subunit ribosomal RNA (bases 1-198)
Source: RNAcentral
GUUUUUAAAAACAUAGCCCAAAGAUUUAUUUUAGGUAAAUUCUGCCCAGCGUAAUUUAUUAGCGGCCGCAGUACUUUGACUGUGCUAAGGUAGCAUAAUCAAUUGGCUUUUAAUUGUAGUCUGGAAUGAAAGGACUAAUAGGGGUUAGCUGUCUCUAUACUAUUAUUUUGAAUUUAUUUAUUAAGUGAAAAUACUUAUACAAAGAAAAAAGACGAGAAGACCCUUAGAAUUUUAAUAAAAUAUUUAAUAAUUUUUUUUUGUUGGGGCGACAUUGAAACAAUUAAACUUUCAUUGACAAUCAAGACAUUUAGGUUUGAAAGAGUAAAUUACCUUAGGGAUAACAGCAUAAUUAAUUAUUUAGUUUGUGACCUCGAUGUUGGACUAGGAACUAGAAGAUUAACCGUCUAAAUAGAUGUCGUC